ACGGCAAUAAUAUAAUUAUUAUGCUCGAUUUCGGCUCGAAAGAUGAGGUACACCUCUUGCCAUA
Molecule: transfer RNA, 64 nt
Filed under: Xylonora corona
Lineage: Eukaryota; Metazoa; Mollusca; Bivalvia; Myida; Xylophagaidae
Description: tRNA-Arg
Source: RNAcentral